CGCGGACACGCGUGGUGUGCGCGGUCCCCGUGCAGCCCGCCCUGCCGCAGGCUGCCCUCCACCCCCAGCCCCAGCUCCAGCCCCCAGCCCGUCCCCACUGCUCAUAUCCGAGCAGAUAGACCCCGGCCCCACCCUCCCGUGCUGAGCCUCCUUUCUGCCGGGAAGUUCGUCCGGGAGUCAAACAUCGCUGCCCUCCGGUUGCGCCACGGAGGGGGAGCCAGGAUAGGAAGCUGCCGUGAAAUCAGGAAGCUGAGCGCGCCGGGCCCCGGAUCCGAACAGAAAAGGCUUCCACCCGCUCCCCUGAGGGAUCCCACGCUGAGGGACUGAACCCCGCACCCCAGCCGCGCUCACCACCCCCACCCUCUCGCCUGGGCUGCUCUGACCUGGGGAUUCCAGAACUGCCACUCAAAGUGCCCUAUGAGGAGCUGUGGUAACAAGGAAAUGUUCUCAUGACUCAAAAAUCAGUGGAAAAAGGUACAGGAUGAGAAGCCUUGUUUCCCAACCCUAUCAACAGAGCCGCACGCACCCACCCCAUGUCAAAAGUAACACAGUAUCGACACAAAAAGAGCCUGGAUCCCUCACAUGGACAGCCCUGAUCUGCUGAUUCUGAGUGCUGUGUGACAGAAAAGCAAAACUUUUAUAUUGUUAAACAAGAUCUUGCUCUGUUGACCAAGCUGGAGUGCAGUGGUGCAAUCAUAGCUCAUGGCAGCCUUAAACUCCUGAGCUCAAGCCAUCCUCCCACCUCACCCUUCCAAGUACAGGUGAGCACCACCAUGCCUGGCUAAUUAAAAAAAAAUUGUUUUUUGUAGACAGGGUCUUGCUAUAUUGCCCAGGCUGGUCUCAAACUCCUGGGUUCAAGCAAUCCUCCUGCCUGGGCCUCCCUAAGUACUGGGAUUACUGGUAUGAGCCACCAUGCUUGGUCAUACUUCUACUCUUCAGCAAUCUACUAUUUUUCUUUUCUUUUCUUUUUUUUUUUUUUUGAGACAGGGUCUCACUCCGUCACCCAGGCUGACAUGCAGUGGUAUAAUCUCUACUCACUGCAACCUCUGCUUCCCAGGCUCAAGCAGUCCUUCAGUCUCAGCCUCCCAAAUAGCUGGGACUACAGGCAAAAACUAAGAGAGCCACCAUGCCCAGCUAAUUUUUUUAUUUUUUGUAGAGAUGGGGUUUCGCCAUGUAGGCCAGGCUGGUCUCGAACUCCUGACCUCAAAAUGAUACACCCGCGUCUGCCUCCCAAAGUGCUGGGAUUACAGGCGUGAGCUAUUUUUAAUUCUUAAUAGAAAAUAACCCUGUUAUCUAAAGCAUGGAUUCACUACAAAAUAAAGAUUAAGGUCCAUCAAGGCUUUCUAGUAACACUUAUUUAAAAAAAAAAAAAAAAAAGAUCAAUCAAGGCUAAAAACAUUAAAAAGAGAGAGAAGGCAACCAAAUUUCCAGGAUUAUCUCAUCCCUUUGCUCGAAACCCUUUAAUAUCUUCCUACCUCACUGAGUCAGUCCUACAGGCCAUUUCUUACUAUUCUCUUUCCUCUUCUACUCCAGCCACACUGGGCACCCUGCUGUCCCUCAAACAUGCAAGUACAGUCCUCCAUUGUUUAAUAACCAGGACGGAUUCUGAGAAAUGUGUAAUUAGGCAAUUUCGUCAUUGUGUGAACAUCAUGGAAUGUAUUUAAACACACCUAGAUGGUACGGCCUACUACACACCUAAGCUAUAUAGUCUAUUUGCUCCUAGGCUACAAACCUGUACAGGAUGUUACUCCACUGAAUACCGUAGGCAACUUUAACACAAUGAAGUAUUUGUAUAUCUAAACACAGCUAAACAUUAAAAAGUUACCAAAAAAAGGUAUUAUAUAUAAGACCAUUGUUAAAGAUAGAAAUGUCAUUUGGCGCCUGACUGUAUACUACUCCUCACCUCAGGGCUGUGCUGUUUCCCUCUACCACGAAUGCUCUUCUUAAAUACGGCUCACUUCAUCUCCUUCUGAUACCUGCUUAAAUCUCAUCUUCUCAAAAUGGCCUUGUCUGACCAACUUAUUAAAAUAGUAUCCCAACUACAAGUCACUGUUAUUUUUUUCCUAGUUGUCCGUCUUCCCCCCAAUAGAAUAUAAACUAUAAAAGGAAGAGGCCUUUGUUUUAUGCGCUGCUCUAUCUCCAGACCCUAGAACAGUAGCAGGCUCUCAUAAGAAUAUGCAGAACAAGA
Molecule: long non-coding RNA, 2188 nt
Filed under: Homo sapiens (human)
Lineage: Eukaryota; Metazoa; Chordata; Mammalia; Primates; Hominidae
Description: HSALNT0311452
Source: RNAcentral